UAUUGAUAUGUCGUUGUUUAACCCUACCCUAGAUUUCGUAUAUGCAUCUCUGUAAAGCCCAAGUCAAGAUACAGGAUAAAAGAAAUGAAACGUUCGCUGAAGAGCCCUAUUUCUAUUUAUAGACAUAAUUGUCUGAAAAUCGUGUGUGGUAGCGCAUUUUCUGUGAUGAUUUCGCUGUUUUUGUAACUGGUCGUUUUUUAUCGAGGUAAGUAAGUAUUUAGCGGUAUCUGGCGUUGUUUGGGGUACAAUAUAAUUUAUUAUAGUGGCUCUAAAAAUAAAAUGUUAAAUGUUAUAAGACAAUUUGGUCUUACACCAAUUACAACUAAUGGUGCAACUUUUCGUGUUUUUUUUUGUGAAAGAAGAAAGGUUUCAAUUAUGGCUAAUUUAAAGUAACACUUGGCACUUUUUCUCGCAGCAGUGAUGCGAUUCUACAUUUUUAAAUGGCAAUAAUGCGAAAAGUAUAAACAAUUUCGAAUAGUCACGUUUUGGAAUUAGGGGAUGAAUAAAGGCUUCAAUAAAUUUUUAAAUGAAAGCGAAAAUUUAUUAAUUUAAGUAGGAUGUCCAUUAAGUGAAGAAGUUAGUAGAAGUGAAUGAGGAAAUCAAAUAUUGAUAACUAGCAUAAUUUAAAAGCAACACCCUGUUUUUUAUUUUGGUACCGGAUUUUUCAAAUAGAAUAUAAUAGGGUUAUUAAGAUAUUUAAGUAAGUUAAGAUAUUUUGUAUUUUAUGAAAUAUAACAAGAGAAGUGAAUAGUUAAAUUCAUCAUGUACUUUCUCUAUGUCUUAAAUCAAUUUUGAAGUCUACUAAAUAAAUGAAAAGCAAAAUACUAAAUUGCUCACUACUACAAAUUUAAAACUGUAAUAACCAUGUCAUCGGAACAUUUAAAAUUAUUUGCUUCAUAAAAAAAUCUAUUAAAUAUUGUUCAUGCAAAAGAAAAUAACUUUUCGGAAAAAUGAAGGAAAUUUUUAAUUCUAUAUAGUGCGGUCAGUUGUGCAACAUAUGGGAAAAUUGUUUAUUAAUUGCAUAUUCUAUAGCCAUUUUAGGCGAGUUUAAGUUAAAUAGUGUACAAGGUUGGUCAUAAAAAUAUAAAAUUUUCACUGAAUUUUUUUUUCCAAAUCUCAUUAGGGAAAGUAUUUUCGAAUUAAAAAAAAACAAGAAUAUAAAACAAUAUAAUUUUAAUACUUUUAGCGUUUUUUACAUUGGGGAAACUAUGCCGUAUUGGAAAAAUUUCCAUACACUCUUAUAAACUGUGACAUUUUUGGCAGGGAAUUAUACAUAAUAUACAGUAGCUUUGUCAUUUGAUACGGAAUAUUUGGGCUAGAGUAUUAGAGAGAGUUAUUAGAGGUUUACAAAAUUAUAUUCUAAAAUUUCUGGGUGUGGUACAUAGUUUUAAACUAAAUUUGCAGGAGCAUCUAGAUAUUGAUCGCUGUAUGUCAGAUUUUAGUUAAUUUGUUAUAAAAAAUUCUGAAACCAUCUAGUUUUAAUUUUUUACGUGUAUUUUUUUUCGAAAUAUUGCGGUAUUCAUGUCUUACCUGAUUUUCGUUAGACAAAUGUUUCAGAUGAACAACUGGAAAACAAAAGUGAUUUUGGGCAUGGUCAUGACAACCGAUAAAAAGUUAUUAGAUCUUCCAAAAUAUGAAACUACAAAGGGUACAACAUCGUACGAACGCAUGCAUAUACAGGAAAAAGAAAGAAGGUUAUUGGGAGUUGAAAAAUCUCAAAAAUGGUUAACAUAUAAUACACUACGUGAGGAAAAACUCGAACUGGAGAAGCAUAUGGUGACCGUAUCACACAUUGGACAAUUGGACGGCACUGGUUAUCAAUGUCGAAGUAUUGAAGGGAGGAGUAAUGCACAGGAAAAGAACCAUGAGGAAACAGGAAAAGGAAGGACUGAGAAACACACAGAGAAAGAAUUUAGAGAAAAAAACACAGGAAACGAAAAUAGCAAUCGAACUGAAAAUACGGAUAUUACAUAUGAAGUGGACAAGGGACCUGUAGCUAAUUCCUUAGUAGCAAUAGCAUCAAAGAACACCCCAACAGAAAGUGUAUUAAUUGAAUUAAAGACGCCAGAAUAUGGCGCCGGUGUCACCUCAAAUUUACUUGUUACCUCGAAAAGUUUAGCCCAAUUUAAUGACAAUGCUGAAAAAUCUUUUGCAGAUGAUAUGGAACAAGUAAAAAUUAAAAGGAAUUAUAAAAAAUCAAAAUUAAGAGAUCACGAAGAGGAAUAUUCUGAAAUAGUACGUAACAAAAAUUUGCAAGGGCAGGUGGAACAAUUUACAGAAAAAAAAGAAAUUCAAAAAAAAGACGGAUAAGGAGAAAAUAUGGGUAAUAUAAUUAAAAGGAAAACACAAAAAGUGAUUAAGGAAUCAAAAGGGUCUAACAAUCAGAAAGAUUACUAUAACAGCGAGUCAUCAUUGACAGACAUGUCAGAGGAAUCAUAUGAAAGCUCGGAGUCAGAAUACAUUCCUGAUACAACAGAUACAGAAAAUGAUGAUAAUUUCAUUAAAAGUACAUUUUUGAAGACUCCAAGAGAGAAAGAUAAUGUCCAAUUAAAUGGUUCAGAUUUACCAUCCACUUCCACGAGUUCAUAUAAACCGAAUAUCAAUACAGAUAGAACUAUUGUCAAUUUCGGUAAAUUUGUAGCGACGGAGUCAAAAAUAGAAAACUAUACAAACAGUAGGCCGUGGACAAAAAAAAUACAUGCGCAUAUUGCUUCAGAGAUGUAACACAUUUUUCUCGACACAUUUUAAGAAGACACAGAAAAGAAGGAGCUGUAAAGGAACUAUCCUCAAUAAAUUUAAAGAGUCCGAAGAGAAAACAGCUUAUUAAUGCUAUACGCCGGCAGGGAAAUUUUGUCUCAAACACAAAGACGAAUAUCGUUCGUCCCGUCAGAAGACCAAAAGCGCAAUACAAAAAUGACAUAGAAGUUAAUUCUGAGGAAUUAAAAGAGAGAUACGUUAUUUGUCAGAGUUGUUUGGGAUAUUUUAGCAGAAAUUAUCUGAGACGACAUAGAAAAAAAUGUGCAAUGAGAAACGAUGUUUCAAAAUUAAGUAGAGAACAACAUUUAUCACAGGCCCAGAUGUUUGCGAUUUGUACGAAAGGUGAUGGUGAAUUUUAUGAAUCGUUAAGAAUAAAAAGAGAGGUAUUUCCAUUUAUGAGAAAUGAUGACAUAUCUAGAACUGCCAUAGAAGAUCCUCUUAUAUGUUUUUACGCUGAAAGUUUACUUCGCAAACACAAGCGGAUUCAAAUAAAAAAUGUUAUCUCCAACAAGAUGAGAGAGUUGGGGCGUUUGCUUUUAAUUAUUAGAUCGGCAACAGGAACAAACACAUUUUUUGAUGCAAUGAAGCCAGAAAUGUUUGACCAUUUUGUGACGGCCACCAGGGUAAUCAGCGGCUAUGAUUCCGAAACUCGAACAUUUAAAGCGGGUAGUUUAGCCCUUCAUAUGGGAACAUCUUUAAAACAAGUGUGUGACAUAGCAACAAAGUUAGUUAUAAAGAAAAGCAAUGUGUUAUCUUAUGACAACCAAGAAAGCACCUUGAAGGAGAUAAAAUGGCUCAGAAAUUUAAUACAAAAUCACUGGAACUCUGAAAUUUCAAGUUUAGCUUUAAAAAAUUUAAAUGAAAAGAGGCAUGAGAAACCUACUUUCUUGCCUUUGACAAGCGAUGUUAUUAAAUUUCAUAAAUAUGUGAAGGAAGAAGCUAACGAUGCUAAAAAUAAUUUGUUACGAGAAAACAAACAGAAGUUCGAAUAUAAGCGUUUAUCUGAAUGCGUUUUGGCUUUGACUUUGUUACUAAAUCGAAAAAGAAUCGGUGAAAUACAAUACUUAACAGUAGAUAGAUAUAAUCACUCAAUACCGCAAACUACUCAGGAAGAAUUUUUAUUAACGCUUUCAUCAGUCGAACGAAAAUUGACAAGUGCGUUUAAAAGAGUGAUAACACCGGGGAAAGGCAGUAAACCAGUGCCCAUUUUGUUUUCAAAAGAUAUGCAAAAUUCGAUAGAAUUAUUAUUACGUCUUAGAAAUUUAAAUAUUUCUCAGGAAAAUCAAUAUUUAUUUGCAAAUCCAAAUACAGAUACAAGUGCUUUAAGUGGAUAUCAUACAAUUCGAAAACUAGCUGAAAGAUCAGGAGUUGUUGACAAAACAUUAUUUACAUCCAACCGUUUGCGAAAACAAAUAGCUACCAUUCUCCAAGUGCUAAAUAUUACGGAAACCGAGUUCGAGCAGAUUGCAAAGUUUAUGGGACAUACCAAAGACACACACGCAAGCUUUUAUCGGUAAGCACUAAAUUUGUUGCAUACAUAUCUUCUGGAUUUCUCAUGGGUCGGAUGUUGACUGUCUCGCUGACGUUUCGCCAAACAUGCUGCUGGCUUCUUCAGAGCGCCAUCUGAAACUGAUUUGAUGAGUGCUCUGCUUGCACCUCAAAUACCAGCCUGGAAGACAGGUUGAAACCUGUGUUGCGGUUUAUGUUAUUUGGGUGUUUCAUUAUUUCGUUAGACUGACUUGGAUAAAAAAAGUGUUAUAUUUUGAUUAGUUUUGCUAUUUUUUGGUCUUUUCGAAUAAAAUCUGGUGUCCUAUUUCGUAACGUUGUUCAGUAAUAGUUGAUUUAGUUAUUUGUCGGUGUUGGUGUUUGACUGAUCUCUGGUUUUCCAUUAGUCUGGUUGAUAUUUUUCGACCUAAUAAUAUAAACCGCGCCAUAGAUUUCUAGCUGCCUUUCAUUGGGGAUUUGGGGAUCGUACCUCCCCAUACCACUCGCCACUCCCCUUUAGGUAUCUAAUGUGCAUGCAGAGCCAUCACUAAAUCAAUUUCAGACAGCGCUCUGAAGAAGCCAGCAGCAAUUUUGACGAAACGUCAGCGAGACAGAGUCAAUGCCCGACUCAGGAGAAAUCCACAAAAUGUGUACCCACAAGUUCCACAGCCUGCGGAAGUAUCUUUUCAAAAAAAUUACUUAUAGCUAAUUGCAUCGCCUUGUUAUAAUUUGGUUAAGUUAAUCGGUAGUUGGAUAUUAUAUUAUACUAUUAUUAUAUUAUGACAUUAACACUGGAUGCUAGGAAUUCAUAUAGACAUACAAACGCUCCUCAUGGAGCCCUUUUUAUGUAUUAUUGUCAUCUUGUGUAGCCCACUUUACGUUGUUGAGCCCGUACUCGUGCUCAACAGUGUCAUAUGUAUGUAUAACAAAAUUAUAUAACGACUAGUACUAGAUCACAAAUUUAUUUUCUAAGGCUUCCACAAGAUAUAUACCAAACUGCAAAAGUUUCGAAAUUACUAUUAGCCAUUAAUAGUGGAAAAGGUCACAAAUAUAAAGGAAAAUCGUUAGAAGAAAUAGAGAUAUCAGAAGUUUCAGAUUCCGACAUAGCUGAACCUACUCAAACACUCGAAAGAGAAGACACAUGUGAAGAAAGUGCAACAAACUUUGAUACGGACUUUGGAAAAAAUGGUACGUUAUUGUGUAGCAACGAACAUAUCAUGGAAUAUUUUCAUUAUCUAUUACGUCUGGCUUAUUCGAAAAUAAAAUUACAUUCUCGCUGAUGAAUCACAUUUUUUAUAGAAAUUUUUAUCAAUGUCAUUCGUAUUAUCCAUGUACAUAGUACAUAGUAGUUUUUAUAUUUGUAUAAUUCUUCUGUUGUUAUUACCCAACUAACAAAUACAAUAUUCACAUUUAGUAUUAAGUAACCACACCAACGUGUCGAUCAAGAAGAAAUCAGUGCCGGCAAAAAUAAAAGAAAUUGGUAAGUAAUCAGGUGAAAUAAAAACAUAAUUGUAUGACAACUGUUUCGAAAACACCAUGGUUUUACACAGGUAUUU
Cylas formicarius (sweet potato weevil) is the source of this 5798-nucleotide RNA transcript. RefSeq lists it as uncharacterized. The transcript has 2 exons. NCBI's taxonomy places the organism in Eukaryota, Metazoa, Arthropoda, Insecta, Coleoptera, Brentidae. The record is from RefSeq and is a predicted model, not a curated record.